AGCAAGACUAAAAAGAGAAACCGCUUUCAAGUGCCUUUCUGCAGUUUUUCCAAGAGCGCAAGGUGGUUA
Molecule: regulatory RNA element, 69 nt
Organism: Anolis carolinensis (green anole)
Lineage: Eukaryota; Metazoa; Chordata; Lepidosauria; Squamata; Anolidae
Source: Rfam